ACAAAUAUCAUAAAUGUCAUUAUUACAUAGCAGAAGUGUUACAAAAAAAUAAAUGAUAAUAAUAAAGCGAACUAAGUAUUAUUCCCUUGUGCCACAAAGCUGACUGGGAGACGCCACCUAGAUCAACUCAUAUUCUUCAUUAUAGGGCGGCUCCUCCUGUACCACCUGCUCUUCACCUAUGGGGGGUUUAUAUAUCGCAAGAGUGAGCUCACAAAAGAUCAUAGCUCAACAAGUUGUGGGGAAUAAUGUGCAUGAACUCACCAAAGGUGGGAGUUUAUGUGAAGUGUAAGGUUGAUCAACGAUAAGGGGUUAAAGCUGAGCAUUGCUUUUAAUAAGUUGGUCAAAUUUUAUUAGCAGUUACUAAAUAUAAGUAAAGACCAAACCAGAGUAAUAGUAGAUCAAAAUUAAUAAUAAAUCCCAAAGCGAUGCAAAUGACAAAUUGAAUUUAAUUCUAUAAUUUAAUCAUGCAAGAGUCUUGAGUUGCUCAUGACCACAAGCACGACUAGUAUACCAGUUUUACACUCUGCAGAGGUUGUACCCUGUACCCUGUACCCACAAGUCGUGUAUCCCAUGUUUCCAGGGUUAGCUAGACCCUUAGACACUACCAAGGUGAAUGGCUAGGGAUCCACUAUGAGGCCUUUACAAAGUUCCACUACCUUCAGAAAACCCGCUACAGUUUCUAGGAAGAGCAAUACAGGAAUCCCCGUCUGACCGCCAUCACAGCAAAAUCAACCCGGGAACCUCCCUACACGCCUACUCCCCUACUGCCCUUGCCCCUAUCGGGUAAGGUAGUCCUCCACUAGCUUUCCUAGUUAGUCAGCCAAGGGCGUCUCAUUCCACCCUUGUGGUGGCACGUGUUUCUCAAGUUAAGCUCGAUGUUCCAAUUAACAUAAUUGUCUUAUCAAAAACAGGAAUAGAACAGUAAUAAAGAAUGAACAAGUGUAAUAGUUAUCUCAAUGCCCAAAACCAAGUAUAGCAAUAGCAAUGACUACCCAAAAGUUCAGGGGUAAACAAGGUGAAAAGAUAAUUAAACUAGGGUGACCUAUUGGGUCUCAUCAAAAAUAAGCCUAUGCAGGAUAGAGUGAUUAUAAAGAACAUUAUUGGGUAAAUAAAGUGAUUAAGGGCACAACUUGCCUUUAACGAGCUCCUGCUCAGCAACUUCUACCUACUGAACACCUGGAUCAUCUGUGGCUUGCUCGUCUACUCACAACAGUAUAAACAAACAUGGCAUAGCAGAAAUUAACAUCACACUAAACAUAAAUACAGAAUUCAUAAUAAUAAUCUACGUAUCAUAACGAGACUGUAGGAAAAGAAUCAUUAAAUUUAGAGUUACGGAUUUUAAGUAAUGAUUUUCCGAAGUACUUAUGUGUUUGGUACAAGAUUAAUUGAGUGAUCAAUUCUAAUGUGGCUUUCAUGUUAAAACAGUGGCACUAAGUGAUAAACAAUAUUAUUACAAAUUAUAGAAACUAGAAUGGACUAAAAAGGAGUCAGCAUGAAUUUUCUAUGAAUUAUACAAGUUUCUACAAUUAUUUUUGCAUUAAAAAUCAUUUCGAAAUGAAUUUCUUUGAUUUUAUAUUUCCCUGGACCGUGCACCAUAAUAACAGAAAGCGCAAGGGCAACUGCGCAAAAGGUCCAUGACACAGAGCGCCCAGAGCUGUACUGGGGGUCAAUAUCAAUAAAUCCGGGGGUCUCUUAUGUAAAAAUGAAAUGGCGAAGGGGUAUCCGUUGACACGAGCCAGAUCAGAUUCAGAUCCUAUUUCCCGCAAACCGGUUGGAGCAGGAGCCACACGAUUCAAGAUCAACGUUCAGGGCUUAAUGAAUCCUAGAUCGGAUCUCCACCACUGGAUUCUGCAUCAAUGGUCGCCACUCGCUCCGAUUGAAUCACUACCAAGCUUUUAAUCCCAGUCGUUCAACAAAGAUCGAACAACAAAGGUUUGUCUUCUUCCUCCCACCUCAAUAGACGGCGGCGCAAGCCCGAUACACGGCAGCCCUUGUGCUGGCGACAGGAUCUACCACACAUCGGAGCACUGCCCGAACCCCGCCUAGUGCUACAUGAAGAGGAAACUAGGGCGAACCCAGCUGUGGCCCAAAAAUGGUGAACCAGCGGGUUGCUGAGCCUAUCCAUAGUAGCACACGAAGCCGCCACGAAAUGCAAAUUUCGGUGAGAGAUUCCCAGUGCUCAAUUACCCCAUCCCAAGUCCUGGAGUGUUAAUCGCGAUUACAGUGACGAGAUGAACGGAUUGCGAGGACUCAUACCAGCGCCAAAGCUCUAGAAACGAUUGUCCACAACGGCGUUGUUUCUCCCCCUCUCUGAUUCUCUCCAAUGGCGGCGAGGUUCUCGGGAGGUCUCUGUGAGCACGGUCGACGGGACCCUUCCCCCAUAUAUAACCACGCGGAUGCUUGCCGAGUCAGCCGGAGCCAGGAAACCUGGGGAGGGUUGUUG
Molecule: long non-coding RNA, 2443 nt
Filed under: Zea mays
Lineage: Eukaryota; Viridiplantae; Streptophyta; Magnoliopsida; Poales; Poaceae
Description: long non-coding RNA (ZMAY_LNC003754)
Source: RNAcentral